Molecule: long non-coding RNA, 4077 nt
Filed under: Sus scrofa (pig)
Lineage: Eukaryota; Metazoa; Chordata; Mammalia; Artiodactyla; Suidae
Description: lncRNA (ENSSSCG00060009718.1)
Source: RNAcentral
AAAAAGCAAAAACAAACAAACAAUAAACAAAACAAAACCCAAACAAAACUCUAUUCAUUCAUGUACACCACUAUUUAAUUGUUGUGAUGAAAAUACUAUACUACAACCCAAAUCACCGCAGCUUCCGUUAAAAACCAUUCACUCUGGCAGUUCCCAUUGUGGCUCAGCAGUUAAAGAAUCUGACUAGCAUUCAUGAGGACGCAGGUUCGAUCCCUGGCCUUGCUCAGUGGGUUAAGGAUCUGGCAUUGUCGUGAGCCGUGGUGUAGGUCAGUGGCUACAAAAAAUGAUCUAAUUUACCACACACCCCGAGGCUGAUAAAAGAUUGUUAGGGAAAUUUUUAACAGAGGAAAACAGCUUUAAUCCAAAUUCCAAUGAAAUUUUAAAUAUGCAGUUAUAUGAAGCAAUAUAUUCAAGAUAAGAACAUUCCAGAAUCCCUUUACAGGGGAACAUAGGCAACUCCUUUUCUAAUUGUAAAGUAGAACCAAAAUGAUAGUGAUCCUGUGGAUGGAUGAAAAGUCAUCCCACUCGGAGCCUGAAAGCAAUAGUCUUGGGUUUGGGAUUACAAUGAGACUUAGGUUUGAAUUCCACUAUUGCCACUGUAUAUAUUCCUAUGCCUUACUUCCUUUUCCUGUAAAAUGAGACAUUAGUAAUAACCACUUCUUCAGAUUGCUGAGGGGACAAAUUUAAAUACUGUAAAUAAAUUGCUUUCUUUCUAAUAAAGUACCUGGCACAUAGUAGGACGAUCCAUAAUAUUCCCUUUAUUUAUAUGUCAUCUUUCAGAAAAUAAAUGCCAUGUUUAUUAUACUCUGAAGAGGAAGAAAACUGUAUUUGUUACAUAAUUAAUCCAGAAGCACAUUGCAGGCUCUUCUUCACUUAUUUUGCACAUUUCCUGUCCAUUUUGACACCCUUUCCAUUGAAAAUGGCUCUAACACAAUCCCCUAACCUAUAUAAUACAUCUGUUGAUAGGUGGCUUUUAGGUACACGCUAGAUCUUGGGGACAAAAGAGAAUGGGAUGAAACUGCAGUGACACUUUGUUGUAUUCCUGGCAACUAACAGUGUGUUAAUCCAUGCAUAGCACUUUUUCCUUUGUCUCCAAAACUGCUACCCAUGUCAAAUCCUGAAAGUGGGAAGCUACAGCAGGUUCCUCCUCAAAAGCAGUAACCCACUAACCAUCAUUUUCACUUUUACCAAAUCCUCAUAAAUUAUUUCACAUCAGUUCAUUCUUUAAUCUGGAUGCAAAAUUUAAUUCAAUGCUUACAUAUUAAAUGAGAGGUUCUUAGUGAAUUUGACUAGCCUAAUAACUAGUAUGGAAUAAGAGCUCAACCAAUCCUUUUGAACCUAGAAAACAUUCUGAAGUAUCAGUCUAAAAUCAUAAAAGUAGUAACCUACACAUGUAUGAUUAUUUGCAAUAUAAACAUCUGUAGAUUAUCUUAAUUUCAAUAAUAGUAAGACCCAGACCCUUUAAAUUGGGUAAAUACUCAGAGAGAUAGAAAACAUUCUCAAGGUCAAAAGAAUAAAGAAAAGCAGAGUUGGGACUUGAAUACAGGUCUUCCACUCUAAAUCCAAAUCUCCCUCAAAGUCAGCCACUUCUUUACAAAAGUCAGGUUGCUGAUUCAGUAUUGAUAGAUCACAGGGCAACAAAAUGGCACAUAAUGAUUCAUGUUCUACAACUGCCCAUUUUAGGAAGGAUCAGCUCUUCUUAAAAAGCAAUGUGCUUUUUACUUAACAUAGCUCAUUGAGCAGUUAGGGGAAUGUGACACCAAUAGAAAGAGAUAGCCUUGACAGUAUGCUGAAUUUGAUAAAAGUUGUUUUAGAAAAUCUUGUGGAAGUUUGGAGUUCUGGGAAAUUCCAACUACAAUCUGCUGAUCAAAUUUCUAUUUAAGUUUUAAAAUAUUUGCAUUUUGUGAAAAAUAUAAUUCUCAUGUUUGUAUGCAUGUACAUUAUGCAAUGAAUAAACUACUAAAAGUUGUGUACACUAAUUUUAUAACACAAAUUAUUAUAUGCAUAUACCAGGGUGGCUUAAUCUUUCACAGAAUCAAUUAAUCUUAGAGCUAGCAAAAGUCCUCAGAACUUUAUCCAAAGCCACAUUUUACAGAUGAACACUCAGAUCCAGAGAAGUUAAGGAAGUGCCAGAGUUAGAGGCAGUAGUGAUAGACUAGAAGCCAAGUGCUCCACCUUCUAACCAAAUGUUUUUUUCCAUUGUACUAUUAGGAAAACAAAUAAAUGAGCAAAAAUCUUUGUGGUAAACCUUUUUGCAAAGAAAGUGCUAUUUUUGUACAUAUUCAAAAUUAAUACACCUCUUAUUCUGAUUCUUGAAGUUGUAUAUUGAAUUGCUUUUAAGUAGAAUGCAUGUAUGUGUAUAUACAAAUGCACAUAUCUAUAUUUACUUUGGUUUCCAUGGCAGCAGUUUGCUUGCUUCAAAUCAUUAGAUCCUCUACAGCAUGGACUUAUUUUUCUAAUCCCCAACAGUCCCCGACACAUUUCUAAUAUUGCCAUAUGCAUACUGGGUACUUGAUAAAUAUUUGUGAUUGCUGACAGAACUGCCCCUGCUGAUAAACUACUGUUGGAAAAGCCUGAGGUCUAUAUUAGGGAGAAGCUUUUCUCUUUUAAACUAUCGAUUGACUCUUGCAUGACAUUUAAUAAAACCUUUCCAUUACCAGUUGCAUAACAGCAAUUAAAACCCUCAUCAAAUCCAUCUUAACUGCUUAGAGUCUUCCACAGGGGAGCAUUUUCCUUGGCAAACAUCUGCAAUAAAAGGCCAUUUAAUCUUCAUAAGUGAAACAGUCAGUUAUGUUAAUUCGUCUCUUUUAUUGUCAGUUUACAUUGGAAUCACACACUGCUUUGGUCCUUUCAAAAGGUACAGAAGAGAGCAUAACUGCUUUAGUAAAAAGAGCUGGUAGUGAGGUCGCUGUCACUGGAAGCCACGUCUGGCUCAAGUGAUCAUUUGUCAAUAUCAAUAUAGAAAGGAUUUCUCAUUGGGAGUGAAUUGGACUAAUGAAGAUCUAUGAUAUGUUACAAUUAAAGAUUCUUUAUUUCUAGGCUCUCUCAGCCUAAAAACAACACUCUCAAACACAGAGAGUGAUUCCAUAUUAAAAUUCUGGGAGUUCCUGUUGUGGCUCAGCAGAAAUGAAAUCAACAGUAUUCAUGAGGAUGCAGUUUCAAUCCCUGGCCCUGAUCAGCUUUUCCAUGAGCUAUGGUGUAGAUCACAGACAUGGCUCAGACCUGGCAUGUUUCUCUGGCUAUGGCAUAGGAUGGCAGCUGCAGCUCCAAAUCGACGCCUAGCCUGGGAACUUCCAUAUGCCACACUGGCAACCCUAAAAAUAAGGAAAGAAAGAAGGAAGGAGGGAAGGAGGGAAGGAGUGAAGGGGGGGGGGAAGGAAGGAAAGAAGGAAAGAGAGAGAGAGAGAGAAAAAGAAAGAAAGAAAGAAAGAAAGAAAGAAAGGAAGGAAGGAAGGAAGGAAGGAAGGAAGGAAGGAAGGAAGGAAGGAAGGAAGGAGGAAGGAAGGAAGAAAGAAAAAGAAAAUUCUGAAACCAGGAUUCAAAGAUGGGGGGAAAAUAUCUGUUUAUGCUUCAUUAUCCUUUUAAAAUUCUUUAAAUUUGUUUUACUUAAUAAUUAGAUGUAGAAAUACUUAUUUUUGAGCAUUUAAGUAAAAAUAAGGCAAGACCUAAAACUAUAUAUAAUACAACCUUGACAUAAUAAUAGUAGUAAUCUGAGUAUAUUGAACACAGGCAUGAACCAGGCACCAUGUUAGAGUCUCUGGUUGCUUUGCUAUCUGGUCAUACACCGAUCAUGUAUGUGUUGCUGAGUCUUUUCAAAUAAAGAACUUCCUGGAAUGAGUUACUUUUUUUUUAUUAUUAAAUUUUUUCAUUAAGGGAUGAUUGAUUUACAAUGUUCUGUCAAUUUCUGCUGUACAGCUAUAUACAUUCUUUUCUUUUUUCAUACUAUCUUCCAUCAUGUUCUAACUCAAGAGAUUGGGCAUAGCUCCCUGUGCUGUACAGUAGGACCACAUUGCUUAUCCAUUUUAUUUUAUUAUUUUUAUUUAUUUAUUUUUUCCCACUUGUAAAGCAUGGGGAUCA